Molecule: ribosomal RNA, 253 nt
Filed under: uncultured bacterium
Lineage: Bacteria
Description: partial 16S ribosomal RNA
Rfam family: Bacterial small subunit ribosomal RNA
Source: RNAcentral
UACGUAGGGUGCGAGCGUUAAUCGGAAUUACUGGGCGUAAAGCGUGCGCAGGCGGUUUUGUAAGGCAGAUGUGAAAUCCCCGGGCUUAACCUGGGAAUGGCAUUUGGGACUGCAAGGCUUGAGUGCGGCAGAGGAGACUGGAAUUCCUGGUGUAGCAGUGAAAUGCGUAGAUAUCAGGAGGAACACCGAUGGCGAAGGCAGGUCUCUGGGCUGACACUGACGCUCAUGCACGAAAGCAUGGGGAGCGAACGGG